RNAcentral lists this long non-coding RNA (364 nucleotides) under Homo sapiens (human). RNAcentral describes it as "HSALNT0380908". The record is from RNAcentral. Lineage: Eukaryota; Metazoa; Chordata; Mammalia; Primates; Hominidae.
ACACGCACGAGCGCAGAACAAAGGGCCGGACAUGCUCCAGCCCGCUCCGCCUGCGCCUCGGCCUUGCGCGCGGGGGCCCGGGUUACCUGCGCAGAGCCAGCUGUGAUGUAAAGAAGUUUGUGCUGCAUGAGAGAGAUAGCACCUGAAGAAAAUGAGGCCCUGGAGGAUGAGAGACUCUAAAGGAAAAGGGAAGGGCCUGCUGUCUUCCAGCCACGCCAGCCCCCAACUGAGAAGCUGGGUGAAGCCAUCUUGCAUCUUUAGCCCCAGUCAAGUUACCUCAGCAAAGACUAGCUGACCCUGCCAAGCCCUGCCCAAGUUACAGAAUCAUGAGCAAAUAAAUGGCUGUUUCUGUUUUAAGCUUUUA